AUUGAACGCUGGCGGCAUGCUUUACACAUGCAAGUCGAGCGGCAGCGCGGGGGCAACCCUGGCGGCGAGCGGCGAACGGGUGAGUAAUGCAUCGGAACGUGUCCGGAAGUGGGGGAUAACCCGCCGAAAGGCGGGCUAAUACCGCAUAUUCUCUGUGGAGGAAAGUGGGGGACCGCAAGGCCUCACGCUUUCGGAGCGGCCGAUGUCCGAUUAGCUAGUUGGUGGGGUAAUGGCUUACCAAGGCGACGAUCGGUAGCUGGUCUGAGAGGAUGAUCAGCCACACUGGGACUGAGACACGGCCCAGACUCCUACGGGAGGCAGCAGUGGGGAAUAUUGCACAAUGGGCGAAAGCCUGAUGCAGCAACGCCGCGUGAGCGAUGAAGGCCU
RNAcentral lists this ribosomal RNA (387 nucleotides) under uncultured bacterium. RNAcentral's name for it is "bacterial SSU rRNA". It matches the Rfam family "Bacterial small subunit ribosomal RNA", at positions 28 to 417 of the family's 1533-position model. The record is from RNAcentral.